This 468-nucleotide ribosomal RNA is filed under the name uncultured bacterium. RNAcentral's name for it is "partial 16S ribosomal RNA". It matches the Rfam family "Bacterial small subunit ribosomal RNA", at positions 28 to 507 of the family's 1533-position model. The record is from RNAcentral.
GACGAACGCUGGCGGCGUGCUUAACACAUGCAAGUCGAACGGAAAGGCCCUGCUUUUGUGGGGUGCUCGAGUGGCGAACGGGUGAGUAACACGUGAGUAACCUGCCCUUGACUUUGGGAUAACUUCAGGAAACUGGGGCUAAUACCGGAUAGGAGCUCCUGCUGCAUGGUGGGGGUUGGAUAGUUUCGGCGGUUGGGGAUGGACUCGCGGCUUAUCAGCUUGUUGGUGGGGUAGUGGCUUACCAAGGCUUUGACGGGUAGCCGGCCUGAGAGGGUGACCGGCGACAUGGGGACUGAGAGACGGCCCAGACUCCUACGGGAGGCAACAGUGGGGAAUAUUGCACAAUGGGCGGAAGCCUGAUGAAGCAACGCCGCGGGCGGGAAGACGGCCUUCGGGUUGUAAACCGCUUUCGCCUGUGACGAAGCGUGAGUGACGGUAAUGGGUAAAGAAGCACCGGCUAACUACGUG